Long non-coding RNA from Armigeres subalbatus, 519 nucleotides. RefSeq lists it as uncharacterized. Lineage: Eukaryota; Metazoa; Arthropoda; Insecta; Diptera; Culicidae. The transcript has 3 exons. The record is from RefSeq and is a predicted model, not a curated record.
GCGGGGGUAUACUGUAAAUAAAACUCUGGCAACUAAGCUGGCAGCUAAGCAAGCUGUCAAUGUCUCGACUCCAAAAUUUUCUUUUCAAGAGUGCUCCUAAAUAAAUACCAUCGACAGACUGAUGGAACCACAGCUGUCGACGGAGCAUGGCCGUGGAAACGAUCGUCAAGUACCUAAUCGGAAUCGGCCAUCCGCUGCCAAAACUCAACUAUGCAUUUGUGCAUGAGACUACGCUUUCCUCGGCGCUUUCUAUACGAUGUUCAACAUAGCUGAGGCGUUCCGGAAGCUGGAAAAUCAAAUCGAAAAGAGGAUACAACAUUUGUGACAAGCUCCGGAAAACAGAGUAACAAUGAAGUGCAUCACGAGAUGCAUCAACAGUUUCCCGCCACCGCCACAAAACGCGACCCAGAAGCGCAGAAUUCAACAAAAUACGCAAACCAGUUAAAAUUUCUUGCAAAAUGAUAAUAAAGAUAAUUGAAUAGAAACAAAAUAAUAAAUUUUUCAUAUCAUGAAUUUUAU